RNAcentral lists this ribosomal RNA (239 nucleotides) under Limosilactobacillus reuteri. RNAcentral's name for it is "Lactobacillus reuteri partial 16S ribosomal RNA". It matches the Rfam family "Bacterial small subunit ribosomal RNA", at positions 182 to 414 of the family's 1533-position model. The record is from RNAcentral. Lineage: Bacteria; Bacillati; Bacillota; Bacilli; Lactobacillales; Lactobacillaceae.
AAAGCCACAUGGCUUUUGUUUGAAAGAUGGCUUUGGCUAUCACUCUGGGAUGGACCUGCGGUGCAUUAGCUAGUUGGUAAGGUAACGGCUUACCAAGGCGAUGAUGCAUAGCCGAGUUGAGAGACUGAUCGGCCACAAUGGAACUGAGACACGGUCCAUACUCCUACGGGAGGCAGCAGUAGGGAAUCUUCCACAAUGGGCGCAAGCCUGAUGGAGCAACACCGCGUGAGUGAAGAAGG